CGCAGCCGAGCUCUGCACUGUAGAAAAGCUCAGCAAAAACACAUAUUUGUUUUUGCGUAAUAUCAAAAAUACAAGAGUGGCGAGCAGCAAGGAACUCCAUUACUGACAGGAAAUUCAAACUUUCACACUCUUACAUUCAAGCUCAUGCGGGUUGCUGAUUGUGGGUGAAUGGGCAGAGGAGCACAUGUCAGAUUUUGUGCACCAAUUGGCUGGUAGUGGGUUGUGUUGGAGGCAGAGCUGGGAAAAAGCGAAAAGAAUGUGGGGGUCCUCUUGCUGCGUGUGCGGGCGUGAAAAAAAGCUGUUUUUUUUACAUCGGGAAAGAGCGAACAAGCAGAACUGAUAGUUGUGUAAAUGGGAGUUCCCAGCUGGUCUCACAUCCAGGCACUGACCUGAGCCAGACCUGCUUAGUUCUCAGCAAGAUGGCUGCCUCAUAUGCCCUUCAGACAUGAUCUGGGAUCUCCAGACAGGACUCUGUCAGGAUCCCAUCCAACCCAGAUUCAAGACCCCACAGAGAACUCCACUCCAACAGAAGACCUGGAGAAAUCCACAGUAGUCCAAAGGCAGCCAAAACAACCCCACCUCAGCGAUACCUCACCUAGCUCCUCAAUAAUCCCUCCAGCUACGCCCUAAGCCCUGCCUUGAUCCCCAAUUCACCCCCUUUGUCCCCCAGGCCUCAAGAGUAAAGGGCAGCAGACCUCACGGAAGCCCAGAGUUGCUGUAGAAGCACCCAUUUGGCUUCCAGAUGGCUCUAUCACCAGGUGUCUACUCAGGCAGAAUGGUCUUCUCUAGAGGAGGAAGAAGAUCCAGCUGCAAGCAAUGACCCAGCAGGGGACCAGGAAGAGAAGAAACUGGCAGUAGAUAGGCCUUUUGGUCUUCUCUGGACCUUUUCUGUGUUAAGAGCUCCCUUUUCAAUUCGUUCAAGCCGCAGAACUUCCUGGCUUCCACACUAGGUGCUGGUUGCUUGGGCCACUUUGGGGGCACCUAGCUAACAUGGCUCAAGGAAUUAGACUUUGCUAAAUAAGGCCAAGGGGAAAGAGUGAGGGGGCUGAGACAAGGCUGUAGCUGUCAGUGAAUGAAGGUGAGAGUAGGGAUGUAUGAAUGUCCAUUUUGAUUUCUCUCCAUUUCUAAUUUUUCCUGUCUUAAGCUCUGUUUGUCACAUGCUGCAUCAGUUUGUAAUUUUUUUAAAGUCCUUGCAAACAUCUGUCCUCAUUUUAG
This is a long non-coding RNA of Rhineura floridana, 1215 nucleotides long. RefSeq lists it as uncharacterized. Lineage: Eukaryota; Metazoa; Chordata; Lepidosauria; Squamata; Rhineuridae. The record is from RefSeq and is a predicted model, not a curated record. The transcript has 3 exons.